Molecule: long non-coding RNA, 884 nt
Filed under: Homo sapiens (human)
Lineage: Eukaryota; Metazoa; Chordata; Mammalia; Primates; Hominidae
Description: novel transcript
Source: RNAcentral
ACGGACCCGCCGCUCCAUGCUGGGGGACCAGAUGCCUCUGUUUACGCCGCUCUCCUCCCAGCCUUCUGCCGGCCGGUCGGCAGCAAGACAGAGCCCGGGAGCCCGUCACUGGGCUUCAGCUGUCUCCCCAGUCUUGUCUUUCAAUAUAUUCUCUCCUCUACCCCUUUUUGUCUCCACACCCCCUUCCCCAAAUGGCCAGAAGGGGUAUCCCUCUUUUUCAAGUUUGACCCAAUAGAACAAAGCGGAGAAAGACUAACCAGGGCGACUUUGAUUCCUGCCAUCCUCGAAACAACACAGUGUUCAAAGAUCAGGCCGGCCCGGCGCGGUGGCUCAAGCCUGUAAGCCCAGCAUUUUGGGAGGCCAAGAUCUGAGAAGUUUCUUGAAGACCAUCAGCAUCUUCAGUGGGCGACUGGAAGAUACACUGUGGUUACCUGGGAGGCAGCCCAGCCUGGACCAGCAACCCAACCUGCUUCUUCAGAGCAAAACAAGAACUAGGAAUCAUCUUUUCACCUGGGAAGGAAUCAAGUAAAAAGCAAAAUUGAACUAAAGGUUGUUUACCUUUCAAACUUGGUGGCCAUGUUGUGAGGAAGCCCAAGUGACAUGAGGAGUUCCCGUGGAGGUGUGCUGCUGACAGCCCCAGGUGAGAGCUCAGCCAAGAAUCAGCACAACACUGUGAGUGCAAACAUGUGAGUGAGUGAGCUUGCAGAGGAUGUGAUCCCACCUAGGAUGUCAGCAUUCAAGACACCCUAGCUGACACUGAGUGAGUAUAGGUGAAGAACAUUUACAACAGUGAUAAUAGAAAACUUGUCAUAAGUUUUUAAUUUGUGCUGUAAUUACACUCUGAUAUUCCCAAAUCUUCAAUAAAAAUCCAUUGUACAGUAAAA